This 22-nucleotide small RNA is filed under the name Arabidopsis thaliana (thale cress). RNAcentral describes it as "ATSL290300". Lineage: Eukaryota; Viridiplantae; Streptophyta; Magnoliopsida; Brassicales; Brassicaceae. The record is from RNAcentral.
CUUGAUCUUUGUUCUUCUGGCA